Molecule: long non-coding RNA, 1239 nt
Filed under: Homo sapiens (human)
Lineage: Eukaryota; Metazoa; Chordata; Mammalia; Primates; Hominidae
Description: HSALNT0298040
Source: RNAcentral
AGGGAAUAAAGCACAUUGUCUGGGAAAUGGCUGAAAUGCAGGCACAAACAAAACAGAAACAGAAGGUGAGGAUCCAGCUCUCCAGUCUGGAUGGGGAGACUAGAAACACACUACAUACAAGUGAAAAAAAUUUCAUAGGAAUUACAAGAAUACCAAAACAAUGCAAAAUAACAGCUCCAAACAAGCCUUGUAUACACAUCUCCAGGCAAUAGCUGGCACUGCAUUUGUCCAGUAGUAAUCUAGGGCAGUGGGUGGGGAGGUCCUUCUGCUGCGCAGGGGCUGUGGUGAGGCCUUUCAGGUCCAGCUUAAGCCACUCUGAUUCCAGCCACCACCCCACCUUAGAUGGGCAAGCUGUUCCUUUCCAGAUCAACUCAUCUCCACCCACAACACAGUGCUUAUGUAUUCAGUCUAAAAUAGCACAAUUUAUCAAGAGUAUUCCAUCGUAAUUUUAAAAUGUCGUGUUUAUAUUUUACCUCCACCUGGACAGAAACUCGUUCCUUUGUAUUCUUACUGCCCCUCCACCUCCCCAUAGCAACCAGCACAAGAUUCCACCGUGUGUAGUCUAUAAAUAAAUGUUAAAUCAUAGAGCCUUAGAAUUUUGGAGUCAGACGGGGAUCUUCAGAGUUGCAUUUGUCCAGUCCUUUAUAGAUGGGGAAACAGGUCUAGAGAGAUUAGGUGACUUGCUCAAAGCCACACAGCUGGCUAUUGACAAGGCAAGGAGCAGAGCCCAGGUUUCUCCUGCCUGAAGUCUGUACCCUGAACUGUCCUUAGAUAAUCAGUGACAGACACCUGAGUUCACACAAGGUCUCCAGGGGUUGAUGGUGAUAGGAGAAACUGGCUUUCCCAAAACAUGUACAAAGAUUCGGUCCACGCCCCUAGCAGACCUUCGGGAGGACUAACUCCUCAGCUCGGCGUCCAGCAGAGUCCCAAGUUACAGUCGCACUUGUUUAUGCGUCUGUCGGCCUCCUCCGACAGGACCGAGUACUCGAGGGCCCCGCGCUCAGGGGCUCCCCUCCGGCCCCUCCCCCGCCGCCGAGCUGUCACACAGCCGCCGCGCGGCCCGCCCCCACGUGGACUGGGCUCGGAGGAUCAAAGUCUGUUUGCAGACUUUGCAGCCCGGCCCCCGCAGGUGUGCUGGGAGUUGCGAUGGUCCGCAGGCCAGGACUCCGCCACACCCGAGGGGACCCGGCCAGCCCCUCCCCCUCCCGCUGCACGCGGCCCGCGCCCCCAAUUCGCCCG